This 279-nucleotide unclassified non-coding RNA is filed under the name plant metagenome. Its description in RNAcentral is "partial contains small subunit ribosomal RNA, internal transcribed spacer 1, and 5.8S ribosomal RNA". The record is from RNAcentral.
UUUCCGUAGGUGAACCUGCGGAAGGAUCAUUACUGAGUGAGGGUUUAACGGGCCCGACCUCCUACACUGUGUUUUUGUGACCUUGUUGCGUUGGCGGGUUCGUACCGAUGAGAGGUCGCCGGAAGCGCAGCGGUAUGGGCGCGUGACCGUCAGCAGGCACCCUCAAUACUUAAGAAACCUGACGUCUUAGUUAAUGGUACUAAUGAAAAAAAACUAUCAACAAGGGAUUUCUUUGUUCUGGCAUAGAUGCAGGACGCAGCUGAUCGGUAGAGCUCACGG